Molecule: long non-coding RNA, 581 nt
Organism: Antechinus flavipes (yellow-footed antechinus)
Lineage: Eukaryota; Metazoa; Chordata; Mammalia; Dasyuromorphia; Dasyuridae
Exons: 3
Source: RefSeq, a predicted model, not a curated record
AUUAGAUCUGUAAAUUAGACAUUUUUUUAACCCCUCUAAUUCUUGUCUUCGCCAAUUGGGACCUUGCCGGUUUGGCACAAGAAGCAAAAAGACAUGUCUGGCUUUGCAGAUGCCAUAGCUGAAUGGUACCCCUGUGAAAUCUCGGCCAUAUCCAUAGGAGAAAAGGAAGAACACCUGGAGAAGCCCAGGUGGAUGAGGAUCUCGGUGAGUGAUUGAGAUAGAUGAGCAGUUAACCUGACCUGGAAUGCAUCCUCCCUUCUCCUCCUGCUCUUUGAACACUUGGCUGCCUUCAAAUCUCAGCUCCAACACCACCUUUAAAGAUGAAGACUGGGGCAGCUAGGUGGUGCAGUGGAUAGAGCACCAGCCUGAAAUCAGGAGGACUUGAGUUCAAAUCUGACCUUAAGAUACUUAACACUUCCUAGCUGUGUAACCUUGGGCAUAUCACUUAACCCCCAUUGCCUCAACCAAAAAAAAAAAAUGACGAGGACUAAGGUCAUCCUUACUUUGCUAUUCCCUCCCCCAAAGAAAUGUCUUUGCAGUGACACAUGUGUUUCCCUCAAAUAGAAUGAAAGUUCCUUGAA